This 68-nucleotide transfer RNA is filed under the name Darevskia raddei (Azerbaidzhan lizard). RNAcentral's name for it is "tRNA-Met". The record is from RNAcentral. Lineage: Eukaryota; Metazoa; Chordata; Lepidosauria; Squamata; Lacertidae.
AGUAAAGUCAGCUAAUUAAGCUCUUGGGCCCAUACCCCAAACAUGUUGGUCAAAUCCUUCCUUUACUA